GGGCCGGUAGCUUAGUCUGACUAAAAGCGCCUCCCUGUCACGGAGGAGACCACGGGUUUAAAUCCCGUCCGGCCCG
Molecule: transfer RNA, 76 nt
Filed under: bacterium
Lineage: Bacteria
Description: tRNA-Asp
Rfam family: tRNA
About the family: Transfer RNA (tRNA) molecules are approximately 80 nucleotides in length.
Source: RNAcentral